CUGGUGUCGGUUUGUUUUACUAGACAACUUUAUUACAGGCUUAAAAUAAAUUCGAAAUAUUCAGAGUAUAAAAAAGGCUGGUUAAGUGUUAUGAACAUUCGGAGUUUAAAACAGUUUUUGUAUAAAAAUUCAAUGUGACAUCGGUUUAAAAUCAAUAGUUGGUUGGUGUAGGUUUUUAUCGAAUUUAUAACAGGUUAGUAUAAAAAUAGAUAUUGAGGUUUGUAAAAGUAGCACGCUUAGCACAAUCUAUAUUUAUAAAAGUCCACGAUUUUUAACUUGAUAAAGUAACCAGCACGCUUUUAGAAACACUCAUAAAUAGAUUUAUUCAUAUUGCCUUUUAACGAAUGUUGUUUUACCCUUUUCCGUUUUUUGUUGCUUCAAUUCCUUGGAUCUUCGUUAUCGGAUUUUAUGAGUUGAAUAAAUUUAAACUUUGUUACGGCAUCUGUAACAUAAUCUUGCGGCGGAGGUUGAAAGUUGUAAGUACCGGUGUACAAGCUUGUAAUAGAUGUGUAAACAGGGAUGCAAGGAAACCGAUAAAAGUCGUUUCGAUGUGGCGGAGAUUUCCUGACCGAAAAAGGCGAAAACACAAGCAAGCGACUCGAGAGAGAGGGCUGGGAGUGUUUCAGAUCAGGCAGUCGCCGGUUUGUGUAAUUACUGCGUGUUCGAGUUGUUAGUUGUCGGUUUGAUGAUAAGAAUGAUAUCAGCGCUGCAGAAAUGAACCGAAUUUUAUUAAUGGAAUGUUGGUAACAGAACUGGUAUGCUGUGUGGUGUGUGUACAGUUGUAUUGGUUGUUUUGUUAUUUAUAGAAAAGACUUCAGUAUGAACAGCAUGUGUUAAAUUUAGUCGUGACUAUCUGUGCGAACAUUAUAAGCAUAUACUGUAGCAUGGACCUCAUCAAUGUAAAAUAACAAUGCUGUCUAAUUGUUAGUUAGUGUUUUUAAAUCUGCGGCAAUAAUGUAGUUAUGUAGAAGUAUAAUGACUAUUCGUGUGUUAGAUGGUUUCUUGUAUUCCAAAGUGAAAAUGAACCAUGUCGUCGUCGUGUAAUGAACCACAGCGUAUUUAAUGCAGUAAUUUAAUUAAGUUUCAUUUGCUAAUUACGUCAUAUUGUGUAUAAUGCAAAGCAGUCUAUGUUUCUAAUGUGUUGUGUUGUCUACUUCUUUACGACGUGACUCGAGUUACGAAUGAAAGGAUAUGACGUAUUAUGAACCACUUCCGCGAGACAACAGUUUAGGGAUUUCACUUUUGUGUUGUGGUAUGGCUUAAUUGAUGAAAAUCAACAUUUUGUUGCUUAUAAUAUAAUUUGUUGAUGAUAUAUAAAUAAUAUAUCUAUGUAUGUUUCAACAUUGUAUAAUAUUGCAUUAAUACAAACGCGUUAUAUACUUAGCUACAGCAUAACUUAUACAAACCAUAGCUUUGAGGUAACUUGUCGAAAUACAGUUAUAUUAAAGCAAGUAUAUAUCGCAUAUUUACAACGUGUAUUCCGUACUAUAAGUUCGCUUAGUUUCUAAAGUGCGUUUUCAAAAGGUUUCUAAAGUGUAUUCUGGUACAGCAUCGUGCUUUACUGAUGGGCGUGUAGAUAGGUCGUUAUAUAUACAUGUAUUAUAAUUGUGCGUGAUUGUUAUGGAAUAAUGGAUUAUUCUAGUAAAACUUUCAUUAUGCAAUAAUUAAAUUUGUUACGAUGUAUAUACCUUUGUUACGUCACACAGAGGUUUAUGUGAUCACGAUGGAAACCUUGGGUGCGUAAAAUGCUGGUAAUUCACUUGCUGGUAAUAUUUACCUCUAGUUUAACUAUAAAUAAACACAGAGGGUAAAUACAGGCGGUUCGUUUUGUAUUUCCCAUUUUACUUAUUUUAUAAACAAGUUACCGUGACCGUUAUUCAAUGGGGAAUUGAAUAACAAACAAUCUAUCAACAAAACAGUUUCCUAAGCGCCGAUUUAGCAGACAAGGGCGCGACGGGACACCAAUCUCUUACACUGGGUUUUAAACUUAGGAAAAGCAAAGACAUUUCCCAAAAGAAACCAUCAUGGUUUAAUAUAGGAAGUUUGUGCCGCUUGGGAAACCGGUGUAACUUGAAUGACUCAUGGUGUCUGGUGUAUAAACUUCCACUGGUAAUGGAUAACUUAGUUAUCGACUAACUACUAACAUAUUAAACCUUAAUCGUGAAUUAAUAUUCCCUGUUAUUCGUGGUUACAGUCGUUUCGUCUCCUGACGUAUUCAGAAAUCGAAUUGACAAAAACAUUUUUUACAAAAGUUUAAUAAAAAUAACAGACGUAAACAAAAACGACUUAAAACAAAUGUAGUAUAUUUUAUUAAUGGAGCAUGGGACCAGGGGUGUUGAGUGUCUCUGUAACAGCGAGCCCUGAAAGUGUAACUAGUUUAAACUGUUAAAUCAAAUUUUAAUUCCAGUCAUCGUUAAAGCUACGUUUAUAGUUUAAAGGCUGCAGUCUUGAAGUAAACGACGUUGCGGUCUUGAAGUAAACGACAACGAUAGAUAAAAAGUAACCCCUCUUACCCAAUCCUCCCGUGUGGAAGUGAUAACAUUGUGGGAAAAUAUGAUAAGGGUAAUCUAGAGUGUUAUCGAUAAAGGGGUUUUGAGUUUCGUUUGACUUGAGUGCCUUGGGUCUAAAUUUCGGUACACUGUUUGUCGUUUAUCCUAUGGUACACUGUUCCUCGUUUAUCCCACGUGGUUUCCUAAAUUCUGUUGUGUACGAUUUUAAAUAUGAUAUUUUACGCUUGUGGUGUUCCGCAAACAGAUCCAAAUGUGACUUUAUGAAACACCCAUCUAUAUCACGGUCUGGUACACUGUCUGUUGUUUAUCACAUACCCUGGCACCCUGUCUGUCGUUUAACUUUUAAAACCCAAAUUUACAUCCCUUGUGCAAAGAGAAACCAUCUAUAAUUGUUAAUUUACAUCCAACAACGUUUCGUAUACAGCAGGUGCUUGGCCAUUAACGUUUAUUUACGACCGAUAAAAAAAUCUGCUCAAAAUAAAUUGAGUUAUCGCCAAUAGCGAAUCGAUUAUGACGCAAUAAAUAUCAUUUUAUCUUC
Molecule: non-coding RNA, 3048 nt
Organism: Ciona intestinalis (vase tunicate)
Lineage: Eukaryota; Metazoa; Chordata; Ascidiacea; Phlebobranchia; Cionidae
Source: RefSeq, a predicted model, not a curated record